UACGUAGGGGGCUAGCGUUGUCCGGAUUUAUUGGGCGUAAGGAGCGUGUAGGCGGCCUGGUAGGUCUGCUGUGAAAACUCGAGGCUCAACCUCGAGAUGUCGGCGGAAACCAUCUGGCUAGAGUCCGGAAGAGGAGAGUGGAAUUCCUGGUGUAGCGGUGAAAUGCGCAGAUAUCAGGAAGAACACCUAUGGCGAAGGCAGCUCUCUGGGACGGUACUGACGCUGAGACGCGAAAGCGUGGGGAGCGAACAGG
This 253-nucleotide ribosomal RNA is filed under the name uncultured bacterium. Its description in RNAcentral is "partial 16S ribosomal RNA". It matches the Rfam family "Bacterial small subunit ribosomal RNA", at positions 524 to 776 of the family's 1533-position model. The record is from RNAcentral.